AUUGAACGCUGGCGGCAGGCCUAACACAUGCAAGUCGAGCGGAUGAGAGGAGCUUGCUCUUCGCUUCAGCGGCGGACGGGUGAGGAAUGCCGUGGAAUCUGCCCAGUAGUGGGGGACAACGGUUCGAAAGGAAAGCUAAUACCGCAUACGUCCUACGGGAGAAAGGGGGUGAUCUUCGAACCUCAGGCCAUCGGAUGAGACUAGGUCGGAUUAGAUAGUUGGUAGGGUAAAGGCCGACCAAGGCGACGAUCCGUAACUGGUCUGAGAGGAUGGUCAGCCACAGUGGAGCUGAGACACGGUCCAGACUCCGACGGGAAGCAGCAAUGAGGAAGAUUGGACAAUGGGCGCAAGCCUGAUCCAGCCAUGCCGCGUGUGUGAAGAAGGCCCUCGGGUCGUAAAGCACUUUAAGUUGGGAGGAAGGGCUUACAGCGAAUACCUGUGAGUUUUGACGUUACCGACAGAAUAAGCACCGGCUAACUUCGUGCCAGCCGCCGCGGUAA
This 500-nucleotide ribosomal RNA is filed under the name uncultured bacterium. Its description in RNAcentral is "partial 16S ribosomal RNA". It matches the Rfam family "Bacterial small subunit ribosomal RNA", at positions 29 to 523 of the family's 1533-position model. The record is from RNAcentral.